Molecule: ribosomal RNA, 162 nt
Filed under: Apium prostratum
Lineage: Eukaryota; Viridiplantae; Streptophyta; Magnoliopsida; Apiales; Apiaceae
Description: 5.8S ribosomal RNA
Rfam family: 5.8S ribosomal RNA
About the family: 5.8S ribosomal RNA (5.8S rRNA) is a component of the large subunit of the eukaryotic ribosome. It is transcribed by RNA polymerase I as part of the 45S precursor that also contains 18S and 28S rRNA.
Source: RNAcentral
AACGACUCUCGACAACGGAUAUCUCGGCUCUCGCAUCGAUGAAGAACGUAGCGAAAUGCGAUACUUGGUGUGAAUUGCAGAAUCCCGUGAACCAUCGAGUCUUUGAACGCAAGUUGCGCCCGAAGCCAAUAGGCUGAGGGCACGUCUGCCUGGGUGUCACAC